GACAGGGGAUGCAAGCGUUACUCGGAAUUACUGGGCGUAAAGCGUCUGCAGGCGUCCUGCUAAGUCUGUCGUAAAAGCACGGAGCUCAACUCCGUGUAUGUGACGGAAACUGAUGGGAUUGAGUCAUUCAGAGGCAACUGGAAUGUCGUGUGUAGGGGUAAAAUCCGUAGAUCCACGAUGGAAUGCCAAAAGCGAAGGCAGGUUGCUGGGAAUGUACUGACGCUCAGAGACGAAAGCGUGGGGAGCAAAGGGG
Molecule: unclassified non-coding RNA, 253 nt
Filed under: uncultured Candidatus Altimarinota bacterium
Lineage: Bacteria; Candidatus Altimarinota
Description: uncultured Candidatus Gracilibacteria bacterium contains 16S-23S intergenic spacer region
Rfam family: Bacterial small subunit ribosomal RNA
Source: RNAcentral